This 508-nucleotide ribosomal RNA is filed under the name uncultured bacterium. RNAcentral's name for it is "partial 16S ribosomal RNA". It matches the Rfam family "Bacterial small subunit ribosomal RNA", at positions 28 to 523 of the family's 1533-position model. The record is from RNAcentral.
GAUGAACGCUAGCUACAGGCUUAACACAUGCAAGUCGAGGGGAAACGAUAGAGAAAGCUUGCUUUUUCUAGGCGUCGACCGGCGCACGGGUGAGUAACGCGUAUCCAACCUGCCCAUCACUUGGGGAUAAUCUUGCGAAAGUAAGACUAAUACCCAAUGACGUCCAUAGACGACAGCUGAAAUGGAUUAAAGAUUUAUCGGUGAUGGAUGGGGAUGCGUCUGAUUAGCUUGUUGGCGGGGUAACGGCCCACCAAGGCGACGAUCAGUAGGGGUUCUGAGAGGAAGGUCCCCCACAUUGGAACUGAGACACGGUCCAAACUCCUACGGGAGGCAGCGGUGAGGAAUAUUGGUCAAUGGGCGAGAGCCUGAACCAGCCAAGUAGCGUGCAGGAUGACGGCCCUAUGGGUUGUAAACUGCUUUUAUAAGGGAAUAAAGUGAGCCUCGUGAGGCUUUUUGCAUGUACCUUAUGAAUAAGGACCGGCUAAUUCCGUGCCAGCAGCCGCGGUAA